GAGAGUUGGACACUACCAAACAAAACCUUUUAGGAGGCUCAGGGUGCCACCUGUGAUGCCUUGUAUGUGUGUAAGUCAAGGAGGACCUGUGACUUCACUGACCCAGGGAACUUCUUAUACCAGUGCCAAAUGGUGCCUUUUCAGCAAUUUCCAGCCACAGUUUCCUAGCGUAUGGAGCGGUUAAGUGACUUGCCCAAGGUCACACAGUCAGCAUGUGUCAGAGGUGGGAAAAGGGCCCAGGUCUUCAUGGCUCCUAGUCCAGACUUCUCUCCUACAGUGAUCUGCCUCUCGUGAUGGUGAAGACAGAGGAGGAGGAGAAGCUUCAACAACAACAUUAUUCACAGCUGACCCUCACAGAUUUCUUCCUCUGAGGCCUCACUAUGGCCCAGGACUCUCAUAGCCCAAGCCUGAGCAGGCCCUAUCAGGUUAGGAAAGUUUCGGGCAGGGCGGUGAUGAACAGCUCAGUCCUGUCUGGAGACCAGAGGAGCAGGUGUGGGAUGGCUCAUAAUCCCAGAGCCAGGAAGAAUGAAAGCAGCUGCGGGGUACUCUGUGUCAUGCUACACGUCUCGGAUGCACUCGCACAGUUCAGUGCACACUCACUCAGGGCCCACUGCAUGCGAGGGAGGGGGGCCCCAUCCUCGCCCCAGCUGCGUGACGUAGGAAUGGGAGCAGCAUCGCCUCCAGCCUGUGUCGGGGGACCUUCCCACUCAGAGAGGGCAGGGGGUUUGUCCCGGAUCACACAGCCUUGGUCCUUGGCAGGGGCCACCCUCAGAGCCAGGUCGUGCAUAGCAGUCAUCGCCUCUGAAGCAGUGAGUCUUUCAGAAAAGGCCUAAAGACCUACUGACCACAAGAAGUAAUCCCCACAUCGUUAUUUCUUCUUUAGCCCUCCCACGUUUAGAGAAUUGCUGUCCUCACAGCAGCACUGUGGGAGAAGGUGUGCAAAUACUACUAGCUCCAUUUUACAGAUGAGGAAACUUGCCAGGGUCACAUAGCUAGCAAGUGGAAGUGACAGGCUCCAAGUCAAAGAAAUACUCUUUGUGCGGCUCUCUUUUAUGAAAUGAUAGCAGGCAACAUUAUGUGAUGACAAGUGAGUUUAUGUGGUUCUGGCAAGACUUACAGAAGGGACCAGUCACUGGUGGGUGGGGUGAUCCAGAAGGCUUCCUGGAGGAGGUGGGGCUGGACGAGGGAGGGAAAGGAUGAAGAAGAGCCACCAUCAGUCCUGGCGUCACUUUGAGCCAGCCCCUGGAACCCUGGAAUUCUUCGAACAAUAGCUGAGCUCUGCCUGGCUAUGGAACAUGGGUUCAUUUCCUGUUUUUUCCUCCUUUUCCUCCCUUUCCUCCUGAGCCUUGGGCCCCAGAGAGCGACUGACCUUCCUUAGGCCCCUCCACUUCCAUCCCUCAUUCUCUUCCCCAGACUGGGAAGGCCUGGACACUUGAGUUCUUCCAUUCUGGCUGGGGGGGUGGUUGGCCCCCCUCUCUCAGCUUCAAAAGCUGUCUUCUAUCCCCAAAGACUUUUAACAGUGGCCAAGAUCCAGCUGUGCUUGUGAAGAUCAAAGGACCCUACCUGUUUGAGUGUUCUAGCACCCACCGUACUGGCCCUUUCUGCCUCGUCUGACUUGGACUGGAUUCCAGGCCAGCCUGAACCUAUGACGUGCUUGCCUGAUCAUGCUGGCCAGACUUCCUGCCCUAGCCCUUCCUAGCUGGCCUGACAAGGCCCUUCAGAUCUGUGGACCUCUAUAAAAUGAAGGCGUCGGAACCGAUCACCUCCUAGGCACCUUCUGUCU
Phascolarctos cinereus (koala) is the source of this 1783-nucleotide non-coding RNA. The record is from RefSeq and is a predicted model, not a curated record. Lineage: Eukaryota; Metazoa; Chordata; Mammalia; Diprotodontia; Phascolarctidae.